RNAcentral lists this long non-coding RNA (545 nucleotides) under Homo sapiens (human). RNAcentral describes it as "non-protein coding lnc-MYCN-6:2". The record is from RNAcentral. Lineage: Eukaryota; Metazoa; Chordata; Mammalia; Primates; Hominidae.
GACUUGCCCAAGGACACUGCCGGGGCUUGAGUGUUGGAGGACUUGAGCCUUAGAGUGUUGAAGAUGGGAGUUUGAGAACUAGCUCUGCCAUGAGCUGUGACACAGUGGCCAUUAUCUUGUUGCGCCUUGAGUACAUUAUCCCUAAAAUGGGAUAAUUGCUCUCCUGCCUGUAUUAUGUGAUUAUUGAAGAACUGAGUGAAGAAACAGCUAUUCUAGCAAAUAUUUACUGAGCGCUUAUUUUCCAAAUGUUCUAAUCCUUCACGCAACCCAAACGCUUCUCACAGCAGUCCUGCCGAUUAGAUCAGUCAUGAACAGAGGGGAUGCCACCAUUACGAUGUGUUUCUUUAUUUGAAUGAAGACGCAAGACUGUUGUAGAAAAAGAGGCCAAAUGACUGCACUUACCUGCUAAGGACAAAGUGGGAGCCUCUAUCAUGAAGGGCACCAGAUCCAUGGAUAUUUGAAAUGGCCUUGAAAAAUAUGGGAACUGUAUGGAGCAUCUGGAAAGCAUCUGUGGAAGAAUUACAGCAAAAACUUCUACAAUUCAA